AACGAACGCUGGCGGCAUGCCUAACACAUGCAAGUCGAACGAGAUCUUCGGGUCUAGUGGCGCACGGGUGCGUAACGCGUGGGAAUCUGCCCUUUGGUUCGGAAUAACAGUUGGAAACGACUGCUAAUACCGGAUGAUGACGAAAGUCCAAAGAUUUAUCGCCAGAGGAUGAGCCCGCGUAGGAUUAGCUAGUUGGUGCGGUAAAGGCGCACCAAGGCGACGAUCCUUAGCUGGUCUGAGAGGAUGAUCAGCCACACUGGGACUGAGACACGGCCCAGACUCCUGCGGGAGGCAGCAGUGGGGAAUAUUGGACAAUGGGCGAAAGCCUGAUCCAGCAAUGCCGCGUGAGUGAUGAAGGCCUUAGGGUUGUAAAGCUCUUUUACCCGGGAUGAUAAUGACAGUACCGGGAGAAUAAGCUCCGGCUAACUCCGUGCCAGCCGCCGCAGUAA
RNAcentral lists this ribosomal RNA (449 nucleotides) under uncultured bacterium. Its description in RNAcentral is "partial 16S ribosomal RNA". It matches the Rfam family "Bacterial small subunit ribosomal RNA", at positions 29 to 523 of the family's 1533-position model. The record is from RNAcentral.